RNAcentral lists this long non-coding RNA (395 nucleotides) under Cyanistes caeruleus (blue tit). RNAcentral's name for it is "lncRNA (ENSCCEG00000011232.1)". The record is from RNAcentral. Lineage: Eukaryota; Metazoa; Chordata; Aves; Passeriformes; Paridae.
GAAAAUGGGAGCACAGACUUCAGACUGGUCCAAUGGCAAAGGAAGCCACACCAGGCAUACGGCGUGACCCCAUGGCAGAUGUCCCAUCCUCCAGCUUUACUCCCAUGCCUAGGAGACAGGGGCUAAAAUCAAAGACCCACUCAUUUGCCUACUCAGGUGGCAGUCCUUUACAAAGGAUCUCUCAGGAAGCUGAGUUUGGAUUUUUAUUUCCAGAGCACCUACCUGCUUUGCACGAGCCUGGACCUGAUUGCCCCAUUACAGAAAAACAGGGUACUCAUGAUGAGGCCAUGAAGUUCCCCCAGUCAGAAACCAAGGCUGUUGGGAAACUUCUCAAGAAAGGUUCUCAAGGGCCAUUGCUGGAGUGAGCAGAUCUUCUGAGACUUGUCAGCUUUGAG